UACGGAGGGUGCAAGCGUUAUCCGGAUUUACUGGGGUUAAAGGGUGCGUAGGUGGGUCUGUAAGUCAGUGGUGAAAUCUCCGGGCUUAACCCGGAAACUGCCAUUGAUACUAUAGAUCUUGAAUAUCCUGGAGGUGAGCGGAAUAUGUCAUGUAGCGGUGAAAUGCUUAGAUAUGACAUAGAACACCAAUUGCGAAGGCAGCUCACUACGGGAUCAUUGACACUGAGGCACGAAAGCGUGGGGAUCAAACAGG
RNAcentral lists this ribosomal RNA (253 nucleotides) under uncultured bacterium. RNAcentral's name for it is "partial 16S ribosomal RNA". It matches the Rfam family "Bacterial small subunit ribosomal RNA", at positions 524 to 776 of the family's 1533-position model. The record is from RNAcentral.